AGGAAUUAAGCGAGAGAGCGCACACGGGGGAUGCCUAGGCAUUCGUCGGCGACGAAGGACGCGACAAGCUGCGAAAAUCCGGGACGAGGCGCACGGAGCCAUUGACUCCCGGGGAUCCGAAUGGGACAACCCGCCCGGGGCGACCCGGGCACCCCGCGGCCGAACACAUAGGCCACGGGGAGCCAACCCAGCGAACCGAAACAUCCAAGUAGCUGGAGGAGAAGACAUCAACCGAGAUUCCCCAAGUAGCGGCGAGCGAACGGGGAGGAGCCCAAACCGGGAGCGAUCCCGGGGUUGUAGGACUGCCGCGUGACGCCCAUCCGGGGACCGAAGCGGGCUGGAAAGCCCCCCCCCAGCAGGUGACAGGCCUGUAGGGACCUGGUAGGGCGCUUGGCAGCAUCCUGAGUAGGGCGGGGCACGUGAAACCCUGCCUGAAACCGGGGGGACCACCCUCCAAGGCUAAAUACGAACGAAUGACCGAUAGCGAUGAGUACCGUGAGGGAAAGGUGAAAAGCACCCCGAGAGGGGAGUGAAACAGAGCCUGAAACCGUGUGCGCACAUUCAGUCGGAGGGGGGAUUCAUCCUCCUGACGGCGUGCCUUUUGUUUAAUGAGCCAGCGAGUUGCUCGUGUACGGCGAGGUUAAGGCCCUAAGGGCCGGAGCCGCAGCGAAAGCGAGUCUUAACAGGGCGUCCAGUCGUACGCGGCAGACACGAAGCCUUAGUGAUCUACCCAUGGCCAGGCUGAAGCGGGGGUAACACCCCGUGGAGGGCCGUACCGAUAUACAUUGAAACGUGUUCGGAUGAGCUGUGGGUGGGGGUGAAAGGCCAAUCAAACUGGGCGAUAGCUUGUUCUCUCCGAAACAUAUUUAGGUAUGGCGUCGCGACAGGCCGCCGGGGGUAGAGCACUGGAUGGACUAGGGGGCACACCCGCUUACCAAACCCAACCAAACUCCGAAUACCGGCGCACCGAUUCGCGGCAGACAGCCCGCGGGUGAUAAGAUCCGCGGACGAAAGGGAAACAACCCUGACCACCGACUAAGCGUCCCCAAGUACGCGCUGAGUGGGAAAGGAUGUGGGACUGCUCAGACAGCCAGGAGGUUAGCUUAGAAGCAGCUAUCCUUUAAAGAAAGCGUAAUAGCUCACUGGUCGAGCGGUCCCGCGCCCAAAAUUAUCGGGACUAAGCGCGUCACCGAAGUCGUGGGCUCCGCAAGGAGCGGUAGGAGAGCGUUCCGCAGGCCUGGGAAGGCGGGUGGCGAUGCCCGCUGGAGGUACCGGAAACGAGAAUGCUGGCAUGAGUAUGCGAAAACGCGGGUGGAAAGCCCGCGCACCGAAAAUCCAAGGUUUCCCGGGUAAAGUUAAUCUUCCCGGGGUCAGCCGGGACCUAAGACGAGGCCGAGAGGCGUAGCCGAUGGAGACGGGGUCAAGAGUCCCCGGCCUCCCUCGAGGCGAUACGACCGACGGGGCGACGCAUCGGGCAGGAUCGAGCGGCAGAUGGACGCCGCGGAAGGAGCGCAAGGCGGAGGGGCGGCAAAUCCCCCCUCCACAUGCCCCAGACUCCGGACCGGGGGAGGGCUUCGGCCCGAGUCCGAGAGAUCCCAGCCGGUGCCGGGAAAACCCCCUAAGGGAGCCGAGAGGGAGCCCGUACCGUAAACCGACACAGGUGGAUGGGGCGAGAAGCCCAAGGUGCUUGAGACAACCCAGGAGAAGGAACUCGGCAAAUUAACCCCGUAACUUCGGGAUAAGGGGAGCCCCCUUCCGUGACCCCGCGCAGGGCGAGCGGAGGGAGGCCGCAGAGAAAUGGCAGAAGCGACUGUUUACCAAAAACACAGGGCCAUGCGAACCAGCAAUGGGCAGUAUAUGGUCUGACACGUGCCCGGUGCCGGAAGGUUAACGGGAGGCGUCAUCCGCGAGGAGAAGCGCUGAACCGAAGCCCCGGUAAACGGCGGCCGUAACUAUAACGGUCCUAAGGUAGCGAAAUUCCUUGUCGGGUAAGUUCCGACCUGCACGAAUCGUGUAACGACUUCUGCACUGUCUCCUCCUGAGACUCAGCGAAAUUGCAGUGCCGGUGAAGAUGCCGGCAUCCCGCACCUGGACGGAAAGACCCCAUGAACCUUCACUGAAUUUUGACAUUGGUUUUAGGCCUUGGAUGUGUAGGAUAGGUGGGAGGCUUUGAUGGCGGGGCGCCAGCCCUUCCGGAGCCGCCCUUGAAAUACCACCCUUGCAAGGCUUGAGGCCUAACCCGCGCCCCUGACCGGGGCGGGGGACCGUGUCUGAUGGUCAGUUUGACUGGGGCGGUCGCCUCCCAAAAGGUAACGGAGGCAUCCAAUGGUUCCCUCAGCGCGGUCGGUAAUCGCGCGCAGAGCAUAAAGGCAAAAGGGAGCCUGACUGCGAGGCGGACACGCCGGGCAGGUACGAAAGUAGGGCUUAGUGAUCCCGCGGUACAGCGUGGAACGGCCGUUGCUCAAUGGAUAAAAGGUACUCUGGGGAUAACAGGCUGAUCUCCCCCAAGCGUUCAUAGCGACGGGGAGGUUUGGCACCUCGAUGUCGGCUCGUCGCAUCCUGGGGCUGGAGAAGGUCCCAAGGGUUUGGCUGUUCGCCAAUUAAAGCGGCACGCGAGCUGGGUUCAAAACGUCGUGAGACAGUUUGGUCCCUAUCCGGUGUGGGCGUACGAGACUUGAGGGAGCCUGUCCUUAGUACGAGAGGACCGGGACGGACGCACCUCUGGUGUACCGGCUGUCGCGCCAGCGGCACCGCCGGGUAGCCAUGUGCGGAUCGGAGAAACGCUGAAAGCAUCUAAGCGUGAAGCCGUUCCCAAGAUAGGGUCUCGCGGGGGCAACCCCCUGAAGGGCCGUCAUAGACGAUGACGUCGAUAGGUCGCAGGUGUAAGCGCGGCGACGCGUUGAGCCGAGCGAUACUAAUAGCCCGUGAGGCUUUUCCUU
Molecule: ribosomal RNA, 2939 nt
Filed under: Fibrobacter intestinalis
Lineage: Bacteria; Pseudomonadati; Fibrobacterota; Fibrobacteria; Fibrobacterales; Fibrobacteraceae
Also listed under: 1 other name
Description: 23S rRNA. Bacterial LSU
Rfam family: Bacterial large subunit ribosomal RNA
Source: RNAcentral